AAGAUGUUCUUUAUGUAGGCUCC
RNAcentral lists this microRNA (23 nucleotides) under Capitella teleta. Its description in RNAcentral is "cte-miR-2686b". The record is from miRBase by way of RNAcentral. Lineage: Eukaryota; Metazoa; Annelida; Polychaeta; Capitellidae.